This 1172-nucleotide long non-coding RNA is filed under the name Volvox carteri. Its description in RNAcentral is "long non-coding RNA (VCAR_LNC004123)". The record is from RNAcentral. Lineage: Eukaryota; Viridiplantae; Chlorophyta; Chlorophyceae; Chlamydomonadales; Volvocaceae.
CUAACACAGUAAAAACCCAAAUGCCCGACCAGCCACACGCUGCCAUCUUGCAUCUCAGUUGCGGCGCACCAUCUACCUACCUACUAGCUAUUUAGGUACUUACCUACCUACUUACCUACCUGCUGCCUUCACACAUCCAAUCUGGAUAAACGAUGGCAGCCUGAUGCCUUGUGCACAGGCGAAGCUCCCAUUACAACCCCCUGUCCGCCAGAAACACGUAACUAAAUGUAGGCGUCCAUCAGUCGAGGUGUAAGCCCGAGCUGCUAGGGCACAGCGACCACUCGAAAUGCCCAGAGGGGCGUAAAAGCUACCGCAACAAGAAGCGCAACCAGAAGCGCAAGCACCAGCAAAGCCAAAUGCAGGGGGUUGACCCCUUCCCCAAAACUGUCCACGAACAUCUGCGGUACGAACGUGAAUUGCCAUCACGAGCAAGACACAGCCUGCCUGCCCGUCUUUGUAUGGUGUCUACAUAUCUACACCUUCUCCGUACAGUCCCCCCUCCUAUUCCCCUCUAACCCCCAACCAGCAACCGCCUAGACAACAGAAUGGAAGGUAGCCACGGCUCUAGCUACGCGGGCAACACCACAUACAAUAUAAGACGUACUGUACUUCAAAACAGAACAGCGGCGCCGCGUCCGAGAAAGAAAGAAAGAAAAGCAAGCAAGAGCCGUGCGACCGGGACUGAAUACAACAUUUUAACCGAUACAAGGGACGCUUGUGCAACAAAUUCUGAAACAAGUCCAAAGGACGGCGGCAGAAAGGAAAGGCAGAGGGGAUGCAAUCACUGGGGUACUGCUCAAUUGGUCAUUGGUCACCGGACGGGCUGCUGAAGCUGUCCGGGGCUCUCGGAAGGAUUGAGCAGCGGCCUUCUGCCUUCUGGUGAUACGAGCCGGGGAGUCAGGCCCCGGAGGCGCUAGGCGCCUGCGCCAGUAUGUACAAUAGAAUCGAUAUACCAUACUGGACGUCAACCGCCGGGCCGUGAACUCUCUCCCUUCUCGUUUCACACCAACAACCCCACAGUUGGAAAUCUUUCAUCUUCUCGCCUUCUUCGUCCUCCUGCUAUGGCUCAUUCUUUUCUGGCAUAAAAACACGCACACAACACACAGAACGUAUUGAGGUUUAAAGCAGGGCCGUUAAAGCCCAGAGUUACAAAUCCAGCAGCACUGCAGACC